This is a long non-coding RNA of Helianthus annuus (common sunflower), 2451 nucleotides long. RefSeq lists it as uncharacterized. The transcript has 8 exons. NCBI's taxonomy places the organism in Eukaryota, Viridiplantae, Streptophyta, Magnoliopsida, Asterales, Asteraceae. The record is from RefSeq and is a predicted model, not a curated record.
UCAUCCUCAUGAUACUCAUAUGAUGCUCUGAUUUGAUUUGAUUUGAUUUGGGGGUUACGAAGCCUAGAAAUCUUCGAAUACAUCGGUGUAUCGAAAAAAGAUCGGAGGUAAGCACCAUUCCCACCAUCGAAUACCUCUAUUCUCACUCCGCCGGUGACCUACUUUCUUCAAUCGCAUCGAACCCUUUUCAAAUGCAAGAUAAAAAGGCGUCAUUAGAUUGGUCCCCCACAUCAGCUAACCACCAUCGUCACCACAUUCACCAUUGCUCGCCACUUGCAAAACCCUAACCUUGCCCAACACCAUCUAUUAGCCCUAAUCAAACACUAGGGCAUUGGAGUUGCCUUCAAUCGAAGUCCCUGUUGAACACCUGUUUGCAUCUUCCACCAGCACAGGCCACCUACAUCAACAACACCAUCUUCAUCGUCAACCUCCGCCUCCACACUCACACCUCUGAUAAAGUACUUUGAUCUAUCUCGCUAUGUAUAGUUCAUGAUUUUUGUCAAUUAAACAUCCUCAGAUAACCUUUUGGUUGGUAAUUUUGUGUAACUAAACAUAUUGAUGGUUGUGUGGGUGCAACACAUCACACUAAAUUACCCCAUAACUCGCACCUUUGCUUGUAGAGGUUACAUUUUGGGUUUUAUUUUUGACCUUUAGUAAGAGAAUAAAUUGGUUGCUGACUUGCUGUUGAUGUGGGAUCUGAUAUUUUAAGCUACUCACCAUAAUAGGAAAUGGUGCUAUUGGUGAGGGUGAUAUUUAUGAGCAAAGAACCCAAUUUGCGUGGGAGAAUCUUCGAACAAAGCUGAUGUAAAUUUAUUAAUUCUGAACUUUCUUUUAUCCAUCAUGGUUCAGCUUACAUUGAAAAUUAAAGUUAAAUUUAAACUUAAUUUUUUGCAUUAAUAUUUAGAGCAACAGUCAUUUACUUUAUCCUACGACAACAAUAAAGCAAACAACUUACUCUUACUACAUAUUGGUCAAAAUUGCCACAUAUAACUAUAGAAAUGGUUUCCAUCACCAGGUUAAUAAUUAUGGUUUAGCUUUUAAAUUCGGCCUUCUUUCAAACGUAUCAAUAUAUAUUUUCUAACUAUUGUACGUUUGAGUGUUCUUAAUUACGCAUUUCUUUGAUUUUUUUUAUUUAUGGUUAUCAGUAAGUUUAAAGUGGGAACAAAAUACAGAAGAGUACACUUUGUUUAGCUAACCGAAAUUUGGAUUUACAUAUUGAGGUUGCGUGAUAAUGUUGCCAAAAGGGUUUUGAGAAAGCAUGUUAGGGAGUCACCUUUGGUUGAGAAUGAUGACAUAUUCUGCACCGCUGUCAACAGUGUAUCAAAGGGUAAAGAUCAAGACUCGCUACAAGGACUGAACAUCGUGCACAAGACGCAUCUAUUGUUAAUAAUGCUAGACAUCCUUUUUUCUAUAUAUAGCUUUAUAAAACGCAUACGAAGACACUUUAAAAUUUGUAACUAAUACCAUUAACGACUUGACAGAAAUGAAAUACCCCGUCGCACCGCGACGGGUUAUCUUCUAGUUUUGUAACAUAGUUAGGCAUCAUGUGUUGUACAUCAUGCUUUGUGGCUUUUAUAUGCUUUACAGGGUACAAGUGCACAUCCCAUCUGCCUUUACCCUACUUCUUUUUAUACAGGCUUCACAAUAACACUCUCCUCUUCAAUCGAUCCUCCUCUGUCGACCUACCGUUGCCGCCAACCACCCUCCGUGUUUUGCUUUUUUGUUAGCGAGGCUGAUUAUAGUGGUCUGGAGACCUAGCCGCCACCUCCGACGACGGUGGAUUGGAUUCUGAUGAUGAUUCCGGUGACGAUAGAAGGCUCCUCCGGCGAUGCUUGAUUUCUGACUCGGCAACUACGAGCCGGUUCGAGGGAUUUGUGACUGAUGACCAAUUUCUCGAAGCUACUGUAUGGAGCAAAUCGCUUCUUCCUUCAACAGGUGUGCUUCAACUAGGGUUCACAUCAGCAACAUACAUUAAUCCAACUCUAUUGCUACCAAGUACAAAAUGUCCAUUUGGUGAUCAUAUACAGGACAACAGGAGAAGCCGCCGCGCUAGACAUUCAUGAUCAAGAAGAAGCUCGCGAAGGAGAACAAGCCCAUUGCUCUCGCUAGAUUCGUACGGUACAAAGCGUAAAACCAGGCUUGAGUUCUAAGGUGUUCUCUAUGAUGUCUUGAUUUUUGCUAAAGGCUAUGAAUUUGAUGAUGAAUCUGUUCGAUCACAUGUUUUCCAUGUACCUUGAAUUAUGGUAGGCUAUUUAGUGUUUUUAUUUGAUCUGAUGUCUUCAGUUAUUGCUGCUUAUUUAGUAGUAGCUGCGUUAUGGUACAAGAAUAAUUAAUGCUACUGAUGUACUCAAAAGUGCAUCAAUUGUGUGUGCUUGCUUAGGCAAACCAAGGUGCAGCAUAGGCGCCUUGAACACACACAAGGUGAGCCGCUUGCGGGUGAGGAGAGGCGAG